AAAAUCCCAGAAUUUUGCCUCCAAGAUGUUUUCUCCUAGCUUCUUCGUGAUCCAUAAUACCUCCACUUGUCGUUAAAACCACGUAACUGUUAAAGAAGAAAACAAACAACAUUUAAAAAGGGGUGGUUUUCUCUUAAAACUUGUUAAAAGUAUGUGAGGGAACAAAAAAAUGGACAAAAGAUAUUAAAUCAGAGGUUACAGAUCUAUCCAAGAUUGAAAAUAGCGAAACAUAUUGUAAAGAUUUAGUUAAAGCAGUGUAUAAUAUAGAGCUAAGAAGAGAAUAUUAAUUAAGGUAGAAAUAGUUUCAAUCAAAUAAAUGUUUAAAUAUAACUUUAAAUAUUUAAAAAAAUAUUGAUUCAUCUGAAAUUAUUAAAACUUACAGAAGUCUAUAUUUAAAAUUAAUUGUAAUUUUAUUUCUUACCCAAACUGUCGACUCGGUAAUAAAUUAUUGGUCCACUUCUCAAUAUCUGUAAUUGGAACAUCGAAUCUAGGAGAAAUAACUCCACACUUGUUCAGUCUU
Long non-coding RNA from Leptopilina boulardi, 520 nucleotides. RefSeq lists it as uncharacterized. NCBI's taxonomy places the organism in Eukaryota, Metazoa, Arthropoda, Insecta, Hymenoptera, Figitidae. The transcript has 2 exons. The record is from RefSeq and is a predicted model, not a curated record.